CGGAGGGUGCAAGCGUUAUCCGGAUUCACUGGGUUUAAAGGGUGCGUAGGCGGGCAUGUAAGUCCGUGGUGAAAUCUCCGAGCUUAACUCGGAAACUGCCAUGGAUACUAUGUGUCUUGAAUGUUGUGGAGGUGAGCGGAAUAUGUCAUGUAGCGGUGAAAUGCUUAGAUAUGACAUAGAACACCAAUUGCGAAGGCAGCUCACUACACAAAUAUUGACGCUGAGGCACGAAAGCGUGGGGAUCAAACAGGAUUAGAUACCCUGGUAGUCCACGCCCUAAACGAUGAUUACUCGACAUACGUGAUACACAAUGUGUGUCUGAGCGAAAGCAUUAAGUAAUCACCUGGGAAGUACGACCGCAAGGUUG
This 367-nucleotide ribosomal RNA is filed under the name uncultured organism. Its description in RNAcentral is "bacterial SSU rRNA". It matches the Rfam family "Bacterial small subunit ribosomal RNA", at positions 526 to 896 of the family's 1533-position model. The record is from RNAcentral.